CUGCUCCUCACAUGCAAGAUGACAUCGUCAGGCUCCACUUCCCCAAAUGAGACGCAUCGCCGCUUAGAUGCUGCCAGCGUUUCCCCUCCGGUGAUCCGUUUACACACAAAGAACUCUGAACUUCCUGCAGACGGAAAGUGAGUAGAGACCUCAGGACGAGGCUGCGUGUUCAGCAGAGACGCUCAUAGUUAUUACUGCAUUCGUCACCGAGGGGAUGUACACAGCUCGCUGUGUGCAGACGUAUCGGCACAAAACCACAAGGAGGCACUCGUAGUAGCCGUGAGGUACUCAGAUAUACUCGUAGUAGCCGUGACGUACUCAGAUAUACUCGUAGUAGCCGUGAGGUACUCAGAUAUACUCGUAGUAGCCGUGAGGUACUCAGAUAUACUCGUAGUAGCCGUGAGGUACUCAGAUAUACUCGUAGUAGCCGUGAGGUACUCAGCAGGUAGUUAUGUUUCCAUUAGGCAAAUGAACAGUAACAGUGAACAAGCUGCUUUCUGCUUAGCGUGGGCACAGAGCGGGGGGGGGUUCGAGAGGGCAACUACCCAGUGGGGGUAUUAAGCAACAGGUACCCGGAGUCUGAGGGGUUUGCUGCAGUAGAAUGAGCGUUUCUUACAGUCCAAUAACUUAUUUGACUAAACACGAGGAGGGAAUCUCAGCAGCAAAGUUCACAAAGUCUUUCGUUUUUUUCUCCUCUUCAGCCAAUCAGCGAUCGUAGCGCCGCCACCAUCGCGAGCCCCGCGCUCAGCCCCGCCCACGAGGGU
Gasterosteus aculeatus aculeatus (three-spined stickleback) is the source of this 764-nucleotide long non-coding RNA. The record is from Ensembl. NCBI's taxonomy places the organism in Eukaryota, Metazoa, Chordata, Actinopteri, Perciformes, Gasterosteidae.